GCGUUGAAAAGCUCGGGGAUGACUUGUGGGUAGCGGUGAAAUUCCAAUCGAGCCCGGAGAUAGCUGGUUCUCCCCGAAAUAGCUUUAGGGCUAGCCUCAAGGUGAGAGAUACGGAGGUAGAGCACUGAAUGUCCUAGGGGGUAUUGCACCUACCGAAGACUAUCAAACUCCGAAUGCCGUCAUCUUAUACUUGGGAGUCAGACUGUGGGUGAUAAGAUUCAUAGUCGAAAGGGCAACAGCCCAGAUCGUCAGCUAAGGUCCCUAAAUGUAAGUUAAGUGGUAAAGGAUGUGGGAUUGCACAGACAACCAGGAUGUUGGCUUAGAAGCAGCCACUCAUUCAAAGAGUGCGUAAUAGCUCACUGGUCGAGUGAUCCUGCGCCGAAGAUUUCCGGGGCUAAAACUUACUACCGAAGCUACGGCAUCAGUAAUGAUGGGUAGGGGAGCUUCCCAUACGGGUUGAAGCAUGACCGUAAGGACAUGUGGACAGUAUGGGAGUGAGAAUGUUGGCAUGAGUAGCGAGAUGUGGGUGAGAAUCCCACAGGCCGUAAACCCAAGGUUUCCAGGGGAAGGUUCGUCCGCCCUGGGUUAGUCGGGACCUAAGCUGAGGCCGAAAGGCGUAGGUGAUGGACAACAGGUUGAUAUUCCUGUACUACCGAUAACCGUUUGAGAGAAGGGAUGACACAGUAGGAUAAGCUAAGCACACUGUUGGUUAUGUGUGCCCAAGCAUUGAGGCAGUCAAAGUAGGCAAAUCCGCUUUGAUAAUGCUGGGAUGUGAUGGGGAGCGAAAUUUAGUAGCGAAGUAGCUGAUUUCACACUGUCAAGAAAAGUCUCUAUCGAGGUUAAAGGUACCCGUACCGCAAACCGACACAGGUGGGUGAGGAGAGUAUCCUAAGGCCAGCGAGAGAACUGUUGUUAAGGAACUCGGCAAAAUGACCCCGUAACUUAGGGAUAAGGGGUGCCACCAUCAGGUGGCCGCAGAGAAUAGGCCCAAGCGACUGUUUACCAAAAACAUAGGUUUCUGCUAAGUCGCAAGACGAUGUAUAGGAGCUGACGCCUGCCCGGUGCUGGAAGGUUAAGGGGAUCUGUUAGAGCAAUCGAAGCAGUGAACUUAAGCCCCAGUAAACGGCGGCCGUAACUAUAACGGUCCUAAGGUAGCGAAAUUCCUUGUCGGGUAAGUUCCGACCCGCACGAAAGGCGUAACGAUUUGGGCACUGUCUCAACAACAGACUCGGUGAAAUUGUAAUUCCGGUGAAGAUGCCGGAUACCUGCGACAGGACGGAAAGACCCCAUGGAGCUUUACUGUAGCUUGACAUUGGGUCUUGGUACUACAUGUACAGGAUAGGUGGGAGGCUUUGAAACCAGGACGCCAGUUUUGGCGGAGCCAUCCUUGGGAUACCACCCUUGUAGUACUGGGACUCUAACCAUAGGCCAUGAAUCUGGUCUUGGGACACUGUCAGGUGGGCAGUUUGACUGGGGCGGUCGCCUCCCAAAAGGUAACGGAGGCGCUCAAAGGUUCUCUCAGUACGGUCGGAAAUCGUACGUAGAGUGUAAAGGCAAAAGAGAGCUUGAUUGCAAGACAUACAGGUCGAGCAAGGAUGAAAAUCGGACUUAGUGAUCCGGUGGUUCUGCGUGGAAGGGCCAUCGCUCAACGGAUAAAAGCUACCCUGGGGAUAACAGGCUUAUCUCCCCCAAGAGUCCACAUCGACGGGGAGGUUUGGCACCUCGAUGUCGGCUCAUCACAUCCUGGGGCUGUAGUAGGUCCCAAGGGUUGGGCUGUUCGCCCAUUAAAGUGGUACGCGAGCUGGGUUCAGAACGUCGUG
This 1820-nucleotide ribosomal RNA is filed under the name Clostridioides difficile. RNAcentral's name for it is "partial 23S ribosomal RNA". It matches the Rfam family "Bacterial large subunit ribosomal RNA", at positions 786 to 2623 of the family's 2925-position model. Lineage: Bacteria; Bacillati; Bacillota; Clostridia; Peptostreptococcales; Peptostreptococcaceae. The record is from RNAcentral.